This 383-nucleotide ribosomal RNA is filed under the name Zonosaurus trilineatus. Its description in RNAcentral is "12S ribosomal RNA". It matches the Rfam family "Bacterial small subunit ribosomal RNA", at positions 794 to 1384 of the family's 1533-position model. Lineage: Eukaryota; Metazoa; Chordata; Lepidosauria; Squamata; Gerrhosauridae. The record is from RNAcentral.
GCAUAGCCAUAAACCUCAAUAGAAAUAUACUUACUAUUCGCCAGAAUACUACAAGCAAAACGCUUGAAACUCAAAGGACUUGGUGGUGUCCCAUAUCACCCUAGAGGAGCCUGUCCUAUAAUCGAUACUCCACGUUAAACCUCACCACCUUUGGCCACUACAGCCUAUAUACCGCCGUCGCCAGCCUACCCUAUGAAGGUCCUAUAGUAGGCAAAAUAGCUCACACUAAAACGUCAGGUCAAGGUGUAGCUUAUAAGGUGGAAGAGAUGGGCUACAUUUUCUAAAUUAGAAAACACGAACAAUGCAAUGAAACCUUGCAUUAGAAGGAGGAUUUAGCAGUAAAAUAAAAAGAAAGACCAUUUUAAACAAGCCCUGGGACGCGC